GACGGAGGAUGCAAGCGUUAUCCGGAAUGAUUGGGCGUAAAGCGUCCGCAGGUGGCAGUUCAAGUCUGCUGUCAAAGACCGGGGCUUAACUUCGGAAAGGCAGUGGAAACUGAACAGCUAGAGUAUGGUAGGGGCAGAGGGAAUUCCUGGUGUAGCGGUGAAAUGCGUAGAUAUCUGGAGGAAUACCGGUGGCGAAGGCGGCAUCCUGGACCAUUACUGACGCUGAGGCGCGAAAGCUAGGGGAGCAAACGGG
RNAcentral lists this ribosomal RNA (253 nucleotides) under uncultured bacterium. Its description in RNAcentral is "partial 16S ribosomal RNA". It matches the Rfam family "Bacterial small subunit ribosomal RNA", at positions 524 to 776 of the family's 1533-position model. The record is from RNAcentral.